GCUCCCGUGGAGAAGCCUGGAGUUCUCAUUUGCCUGUCACGCAAAGGAUCGCGCGUUCAAAUCGCGUCGGGAGCG
RNAcentral lists this transfer RNA (75 nucleotides) under Chloroflexota bacterium. RNAcentral describes it as "Chloroflexi bacterium (groundwater metagenome) tRNA-Asp". The record is from RNAcentral. Lineage: Bacteria; Bacillati; Chloroflexota.